This 990-nucleotide ribosomal RNA is filed under the name Graphis rhizocola. RNAcentral's name for it is "LSU rRNA". It matches the Rfam family "Eukaryotic large subunit ribosomal RNA", at positions 143 to 1099 of the family's 3401-position model. The record is from RNAcentral. Lineage: Eukaryota; Fungi; Ascomycota; Lecanoromycetes; Ostropales; Graphidaceae.
UUGUAAUUUGUAGAAGGUGUCUCGGGAGCGACGACGGUGCAAGUCCCCUGGAAUGGGGCGUCUCAGAGGGUGAGAAUCCCGUACGCCACCGAUCGUUAACCCCGCGUGAGACCCUUUCGACGAGUCGAGUUGUUUGGGAAUGCAGCUCAAAAUGGGUGGUAAAUUUCAUCUAAAGCUAAAUAUCCGCCAGAGACCGAUAGCGCACAAGUAGAGUGAUCGAAAGAUGAAAAGCACUUUGAAAAGAGAGUCAAACAGUACGUGAAAUUGUUGAAAGGGAAGCGCUUGCAACCAGACUCGGCCGCGCGUGCUCAGCCUCUCCUCGGAGCGGUGCACUCUCGCGCGGUCGGGCCAGCAUCGGUUUCGGCGGUCGGACAAAGGCUUUGGGAACGUAGCUCCUCUCGGGGAGUGUUAUAGCCCGGAGUGCAAUGCGGCCUGCUGGGACCGAGGAACGCGCUCUCGCUAGGAUGCUGGCGUAAUGGUUGCCAGCGACCCGUCUUGAAACACGGACCAAGGAGUCGACCAACCGCGCGAGUGUUUGGGUGUAAAGCCCAGGACGCGCAAUGAAAGUGAACGCAGGUGGGAGCCUCGGCGCACCAUCGACCGAUCUUGAAGUCUUCGGAUGGAUUUGAGUGUGAGCGUGCUUGGUCGGACCCGAAAGUCAUGUGAUCUAUGCGCGAAUAGGGUGAAGCUAGAGGAAACUCUGGUGGAGGCUCGCAGCGGUUCUGACGUGCAAAUCGAUCGUCAAAUUUGCGCAUAGGGGCGAAAGACUAAUCGAACUGACUAGUAGCUGGUUCCUGUCGAAGUUUCCCUCAGUAAGUUGAUCUUUUAGUGAAAUUCCGAGAUGGGAGAUAUACUAACUCUUUCUAGGGAUAGCAGCAACGAGAAACAGUCUCAUGAGGUAGAGCGAACGAUUAGAGGCCUUGGGGCUGUAACAGCCUUAACCUAUUCUCGAACUUCGAAUACGUGAGAAGUCCUUGUUACUCAAUUGAA